RNAcentral lists this ribosomal RNA (301 nucleotides) under uncultured bacterium. RNAcentral's name for it is "partial 16S ribosomal RNA". It matches the Rfam family "Bacterial small subunit ribosomal RNA", at positions 509 to 809 of the family's 1533-position model. The record is from RNAcentral.
CAGCAGCCACGGUAAUACGGAGGGUGCAAGCGUUAAUCGGAAUUACUGGGCGUAAAGCGCACGCAGGCGGUCUGACAAGUCAGAUGUGAAAUCCCCGGGCUUAACCUGGGAACUGCAUUUGAAACUGUCAGGCUGGAGUCUUGUAGAGGGGGGUGGAAUUCCAGGUGUAGCGGUGAAAUGCGUAGAGAUCUGGAGGAAUACCGGUGGCGAAGGCGGCCCCCUGGACAAAGACUGACGCUCAGGUGCGAAAGCGUGGGGAGCAAACAGGAUUAGAUACCCCUGUAGUCCCUGUCUCUUAUAU